UAGGGAAUAUUGGACAAUGGGCGAAAGCCUGAUCCAGCAACGCCGCGUGUGCGAUGACGGCCUUCGGGUUGUAAAGCGCUUUUUGAGAGGAUGAGGAAGGACAGUACUCUUAGAAUAAGCCUCGGCUAACUACGUGCCAGCAGCCGCGGUAAAACGUAGGAGGCGAGCGUUAUCCGGAUUUACUGGGCGUAAAGCGUGUGUAGGCGGUUUGAUAAGUUGGAUGUGAAAGCUCCUGGCUUAACUGGGAGAGGUCGUUCAAAACUAUCAGACUUGAGAGUGGUAGAGGGAGGUGGAAUUCCGCAUGUAGUGGUGAAAUGCGUAGAUAUGCGGAGGAACACCAGUGGCGAAAGCGGCCUCCUGGCCCAUUUCUGACGCUCAGACACGAAAGCUAAGGUAGCAAACG
Molecule: ribosomal RNA, 403 nt
Filed under: uncultured prokaryote
Description: bacterial SSU rRNA
Rfam family: Bacterial small subunit ribosomal RNA
Source: RNAcentral